Molecule: ribosomal RNA, 465 nt
Filed under: uncultured bacterium
Lineage: Bacteria
Description: bacterial SSU rRNA
Rfam family: Bacterial small subunit ribosomal RNA
Source: RNAcentral
UCCAGACUCCUACGGGAGGCAGCAGUGAGGAAUAUUGGUCAAUGGCCGGAAGGCUGAACCAGCCAAGUCGCGUGAGGGAAUAAGGCCCUAUGGGUCGUAAACCUCUUUUGUCAGGGAGCAAAGGCGUCCACGUGUGGACGAGAGGAGAGUACCUGAAGAAAAAGCAUCGGCUAACUCCGUGCCAGCAGCCGCGGUAAUACGGAGGAUGCGAGCGUUAUCCGGAUUUAUUGGGUUUAAAGGGUGCGUAGGCGGGCUGUUAAGUCAGCGGUAAAAUGUCGGGGCUCAACCCCGGCCUGCCGUUGAAACUGGCGGCCUCGAGUGGGCGAGAAGUAUGCGGAAUGCGUGGUGUAGCGGUGAAAUGCAUAGAUAUCACGCAGAACUCCGAUUGCGAAGGCAGCUUACCAAACUAUAACUGACACUGAAGCACGAAAGCGUGGGGAUCAAACAGGAUUAGAUACCCCUGUA